GUCUCUUUGUUGGUUUUUUAUAAAGAGUCUGACCUGCCCGGUGAUAAUAUUUAACGGCCGCGGUACUUUGACCGUGCAAAGGUAGCAUAAUCAUUUGCCUUAUAAUUGAAGGCUUGUAUGAAUGGUUUCACAAGAAUUGAUCUGUCUCCUGUAAAUUAAAAUGAAAUUGACUUUUAGGUGUAAAGGCCUAAAUGUUACUAAUAGACAAGAAGACCCUAUUGAGCUUAAAAAGUUUAUGUGACGUAGAUUAUAUUUAAAGUAAAAUUAUGAGUUAUUAAAAUUUUUUAGUUGGGGCGACUAUGGAACAAAUAAAACUUCCAAAAUUUUAUAAUAUUCGGUAUUAGUUUGUUUGAAUUAGAUCCAAAAUGUUUUGAUUAAUAGAAUAAGUUACCAUAGGGAUAACAGCAUAAUCUAUCUUAAGAGUUCUAAUCGAAAGAAAGGUUUGUGACCUCGAUGUUGGAUUAAAAUAUCCUAAAGGUGUAGAAGCUUUUGAGGGUUAGUCUGUUCGACUAUUAAAAUUUUACAUGAUCUGAGUUCAGACCGGCGUAAGCCAGGUCAGUUUCUAUCUUUAGUUAAUAGAAUCAGAGUCUAGUACGAAAGGACCGAGUCAAGUGGGCGAUUAGUUGUAGCCUUAUUUAAAUGAUAAUAUAUAAUUAAUGUUUUAGUUUUAUAU
Molecule: ribosomal RNA, 673 nt
Filed under: Pila ovata
Lineage: Eukaryota; Metazoa; Mollusca; Gastropoda; Architaenioglossa; Ampullariidae
Description: partial large subunit ribosomal RNA
Rfam family: Bacterial large subunit ribosomal RNA
Source: RNAcentral